CCGAGGAGGCUCUAGGGGCCAUGGCACAUAGGGGGCGGAGGCCGGGGUGGACAGUUCCCCAGCCUGCUGGGGAUGGAGAGCAAUUGAGGGGAGUGUGGAGUGGGGAGUAUGGAAUUGGGAGCAAUGAGGGAAGAGAGUGAGAGGGAAGAAGAGAGGAAGGCAAAAGGAAGAUGGGGAAGGGGCCAUUCUGCACGGGUCUUCACAGACCAUUAGUCCAGGAGAUAUAGGGAUCGUGUGCCUGUCGGAGUGUCCAGCGAAAUCCCGAGUAACUGACAGCAGCUGCUCCUCCUCUUUUCUGGCUCCUGGCUGUUCCCUGGCCCCGUCUUCCUUCAGGACGGGCAGGAUCUUUUACCCAUACCUCCUUGCCUCCCUGUUCCUCAUCGAGCUCCAAGCCAGACAAGGCUGCUUUUUCCUGGGAGUGGGCUGGUCCUCCAUUUUCCUCUGAUCACUCCCCUUAUUCCUGCGUUUAGACAAGAGAGAAAUGGGGGCCCUAAGAAAGCGGGCAUUCCGCCUUGUUCCUUCAUUCUGACCAAUACCAACAGUCCCUGGAUGGUAACUCCCUUUCCCAGCCUUCAAGAAGGGAAAUUGGUCUCCCCCAGUCCCUCAGCAGCCCCCUAACUCUUCUCCCUAUCAGGUUGCAUGAGGCAGUCCUCUUCCUCAAGUGCAGUAAAGUGUUGAGGUUGCAUAAGUGGAAAUGUGUCUGCUUCCAUCAAAAUAUUUGUCACAUUAUUUGAGGCCCCACUCAUGCUGCUCCAUUGCUCCUCCUUCAUCCUCCUUUAUCCAGCCCACCAUGGAAGGCUCUGCCUCUGGAGGCCUCUGGCCCCUGCUAAAAGAUGACCCUUCAGCCUCUUUCUUUUCUCCUGAGAGGUCCCCUCCCACCUCACACUCUUCCCCUGCUGACUGGUCACAACUGUCCUUAUGAUUCUCUGGCUUUCUCUACCCUAGGAUGAGACUGCUUACCCCCACCCAGAGCUGGGAGGAGGAAAGGGACACGAAAAUAUCAAAUAAGGGGCUAUGAGAGAGGACUUUCCAAGCCCUGAUGGCAGAGCCCAGUUGGAGGGACCCCCAACCACCAAGGAGGGAGCUAAACCAAUUCAAUAAAUAGCAUUUACACUGAGCUUACUGUGUGCCAGGCCCUGUCUUGAAUGCUUUACAUACAAGAUCACACUGGGUCUUUACAUCAAGCCCUAGAGGUAAAACUCAUCACUUUUCUCAUUUUACAGAUGGAGAACUGAGGCUCUGGCAAGUGAAGAGAUUUGACCAAAGUCACACAACUAAUAAGAGGUUGCAGUGUUUGGUGUAGGAUAGGAAGACAGUGGCCUAUGCUUCUAGGUUCAGAGACAAGACUUAGAUGAGUGAAGAAGGACCCCUGGUGCUCUGGCAUUCUAGCCUCCUCCUCAGCCACCUGCCCGCAGGGGGACAGGGGAACCCAGGUUUACAGAAGGGGAAAGAGGCAUGAUUCAUCCAGGUGCCAGGCUCUGUGCUGCGUCCUGGGAGCCAGCGCAAAAGCCAGACUAGGCUCUUCUUGCCUGUGCGGUAUUUAGAGUUGAUCGAAGGAGACAAACAAAUGCACAACAAAGCAUCAUGCCCCCAGGAGACCAGGGAGCAGUGUCCAUGCGCCUCGCCUGAGGACCCAGAUGUCCUGCUCUUCCAGCUGAAUGCUUUCAAGUGACGCAGAAUCCUUGUCUCAUCCCAGGGUUAACAUCCCCUUCUCACCCGUCUCCCACAUCUGCAGGUCUCCCCUCCUGGGCAGCCAGACCAUCUGAGGAUGGUGGACAGAGUGUGAAGGUGAGACUGAAUCUCAGCUUGGACACUCACUGGCUGGGUGACCUCAAGCAAAUCAUUCAUCUCUCCCAGUCGCAGUGUCCUUCUCAGUUAAAAGGCAGUAACUAAUACCCAUCACAGUGGUACCAACAGCAUCAAAUAAGAUUAAGUAUAUAAAGCACCAAAGAUGGUGUUUGGUGCACA
Long non-coding RNA from Canis lupus familiaris (dog), 1968 nucleotides. RefSeq lists it as uncharacterized. Lineage: Eukaryota; Metazoa; Chordata; Mammalia; Carnivora; Canidae. The transcript is spliced from 3 exons. The record is from RefSeq and is a predicted model, not a curated record.